Gymnothorax javanicus (giant moray) is the source of this 73-nucleotide non-coding RNA. Lineage: Eukaryota; Metazoa; Chordata; Actinopteri; Anguilliformes; Muraenidae. The record is from the annotation of a GenBank genome assembly.
GGCACGGUGGUGCAGUGGUUAGCACUGUUGCCUCACAGCAAGGAGGUCCUGGGUUUGAUUCCGGCCUGGGGCC